UUCUUUUUUACAAAACAUCUCAAGCUCCUUCUUGUUGCUUUCUUUCUACAAUGCCUUCUGGAAAGCAUUCACCGGUUGCUGCUUGAUGACACUGUGCCACGGAUAGAGUGGGACCAAAAUGUCCUCCAAGAGAAGCUUCUUCCAAUCCCUCCGGAACAGUCUGGUGGUGAUCUGUCGACUUUCCAGCAUGACGGAGCAGCGUUUUCCCCGCCGCAAAACUGACAAAGGAAGGAGUUCCCUGGGCGUGCUUCGGUGGCGUAGUGGAUAGCGCGACCCAUAUUUGGAGGCCUUGAGUCCUCGACGCGGCCGUCGCGGGUUCGAUUCCCGGACCCGACCGCCAUUUGCCGCAUGUCUUCCUCCCUCUCACUUCCCCUUUCCUGUCAGUCUACUGACAUAUAAGGGACACCCACAAAAAGACCCCCUGGAGGGGGAAAAAAUAAAAAAAAGAAAGGAGUUCCCUAAUGAGUCUGGCAGGGAGCUGAAGGGACAGGAUGUCUGCUUCUAAACACGGACUGGAACCGUCUAAUAUUCCUCCUCACGCCACAUCUGAUACCGCGCUCUCCCAAGACACGGCUAAACCGACGCCAUUAUCUCUUAAGGCAGAAAAAUCAAAGCUGUGUUUGUAAACAUGGACACGGCCCUCAAACAGAAACCCGAGAAAUGACAAGAUUACUUAUGUCUGAAGUGAUUUGGGGAAAAACUUCUAUAGUAAGAAAUCGGAUCAGUUGAAGAUGUGACGUUGCGCGUCCUUUUAAGGACACAGCACAAUAAAGCUCCGAUGUGAUCUGUUUUCAUCCUCAUACGCGGUGUUGACUUAAAGUUUGUUAUAAAAGAUGCAAUCAAAAGGGGCGGUAUCGUGUGAAAUUUUGAGUUUCACAACAUGUUGUAAUGUUAUUCCUUCACCAAAAACAUAUCUGGAGUGUUGCUUUGAUUCUUUCACGCAUGUUUGAGAAAUCCUUUAAUGUCCAUUGGCAACCGUUCAGCGGUGCAAAACGUCUGGCUCCACCUUCGAGGACGACGCUCCUCCUCAAGACUGUAGUUUCCAAGUUUCCAUGCUUUCCCGUGACUCCGCCACUCAGCUCCUUCAGACUAGCUAGCCGCAAUUAGCAAACACCUGCUGGAACUGCACAUCUUCUGAACUCGUUAAAUGAGCCACUGCCCAAUGCAACGCUGUUAAAAAAAAUGUUGUUUAAGGGGUAAUAGAGAAUGUUGCGAUGACUUCCUGAAGGCAGAGUUUCAGAAAGAGCAAGAGUUUUUAAAGAGACAAAGACCCAAUUUUAAGGUGCUAAGAAGUCCACUUUCUUUUAAAUCAUUUUUGAUAAUAUAUGGCAUUUUUAGAACAACUGAAUCCAGCAUAGUUACUUGAUUGGGCUAUAAAAUGGCACAAAGUGCUCUGAAAACAUAUAAGUGUCCCUUUAAGAGUUCUGAACUUUAAAGAGAUGGUUGCCAGUAUGUUUUACCUUACUGUCUUGUACAAUAAAGUCAUAUUUAUUGCGGUAAAGUAAACCUCAUAAGCACCGCCUGUACUUUGUUUUGGGGAAAACUAAAUCAGGGCAAGAACCGGAAACAAAGAGAGUAAAUAGGAAGUACUUCCUGUAGGAAAGAAAGUGGAAUACGUAGACGUGAUUCUAAUCUUUAACCUUAGAUGUCCCGUCUUUGCGACUGUGGUCUUGGCCAAAACAGUCCUGUGUGAAUAUGAUGAACAGCAGUGUCAUUGAGAUAAAAGGUUAAACUCCCCUGUUUUUAAUCUUUGACGAGGAUUAAGAUACAUAAUGAAGCGUACUCUCUGACCGCCGAGGCCUGCGCUGCUGCCGACCGCUUCCACAGAGGGAGCUCCGAUAUCUUUUGAAAAACAUUUUUAUUUUCAAUUUUUUUUCUUUUUAUCCCUCUUCCAGGAACAACGACAUGCCUCAGAGCUGCGUUGAUAAAUGUCAGUCAUGCCCUGGCGGGGAACUCUGCGGCAGAAUUAAUAAUACUUGUCAGACAACGCUCCAUCCUGCUUUAUUGCACUAUUCUGGUGGCUGCCCCAGCCGGAGCCUGCAGCCGUUGCAGACCUGUCCCGGCCUGCGCCGUGAAGCCAGACUAAAUACUGAGCUCCUCUAAUAUUAGACUCACUGCUGAAAGAGCAUUUAAUGGUUGCCAUCGGGAAAGUUUACCGUCUUGCCAAAAGGUGGGAACGUGUCCAAGUGACACAUUCUCGGGUAAUUACGUGUUCCGGUUCUUUCAUGAGACGAUUCUGUUUUAAAUGAUUGGAGACGGUGGCAUCGUUGGGUCAUUAAGAAUAAUCUCAAAUGGAGCCGCAGCUGCUAAUUAUUCACAUGAAUCAUUCAGGACAGGAACAACUCCUUCCCUGCCCCCUUCAUGUAGA
Molecule: long non-coding RNA, 2368 nt
Organism: Gambusia affinis (western mosquitofish)
Lineage: Eukaryota; Metazoa; Chordata; Actinopteri; Cyprinodontiformes; Poeciliidae
Exons: 3
Source: RefSeq, a predicted model, not a curated record